GACGAACGCUGGCGGCGUGCCUAAUACAUGCAAGUCGAACGCAGUGGGGACGGGUGAGUUACCCGUGGGUAACCUCCCCUUAGAGGGGAUAACACUUGGAAACAGGUGCUAAACCGAUACUGAUGGAUGUACCCGGGGUGCAUUAGCUAGUCGGUGAGGUAACGGCGUACCAAGGCGACGAUGCAUAGCCGACCUGAGAGGGUGAUCGGCCACACUGGGACUGAGACACGGCCCAGACUCCUACGGGAGGCAGCAGUAGGGAAUCUUCGGCAAUGGACGAAAGUCUGACCCAGCAACGCCGCGUGAGUGAAGAAGGUUUUCGGAUCGUAAAGCUCUGUUGUUAGGGAAGCGGUACCUAAACAGAAAGCAACGGCUAACUACGUGCCAGCAGCCGCGGUAAUAC
This 403-nucleotide ribosomal RNA is filed under the name uncultured bacterium. RNAcentral describes it as "partial 16S ribosomal RNA". It matches the Rfam family "Bacterial small subunit ribosomal RNA", at positions 28 to 526 of the family's 1533-position model. The record is from RNAcentral.